RNAcentral lists this transfer RNA (29 nucleotides) under Brookesia sp. Betampona. RNAcentral's name for it is "partial tRNA-Leu". Lineage: Eukaryota; Metazoa; Chordata; Lepidosauria; Squamata; Chamaeleonidae. The record is from RNAcentral.
ACUUUUAAAGGAAAAUAGUUAUCCACUGG